Molecule: ribosomal RNA, 465 nt
Filed under: uncultured bacterium
Lineage: Bacteria
Description: partial 16S ribosomal RNA
Rfam family: Bacterial small subunit ribosomal RNA
Source: RNAcentral
CCUACGGGUGGCAGCAGUGGGGAAUAUUGCUCAAUGGGCGAAAGCCUGACGCAGCGACGCCGCGUGAGGGAUGAAGGUCUUCGGAUCGUUAACCUCUUUCAGCAGAGAAGAAAAGUGACUGUGCUGAUCAGCAUUGAAUUGACGUUACCUUCAAGGAACGCACCGGCUAACUCCGUGCGAGCAGCCGCGGUAAUACGGAGGGUGCUAGUGUUAAUCGGAUUUGCUGGGCGUAAAGCGAGCGUAGGCGGUAUGUCAAGUCAAAUGUGAAAUCCCGGCGCUCAACGUGGGAACUGCAUUUGAUACUGGCAGACUGGAGUGUGGGAGAGGAUAGUGGAAUUCCAGGUGUAGGAGUGAAAUGCGUAGAUAUCAGGAGGAACACCAGUGGCGAAGGCGACUAUCUGGAACACAACUGACGUUGAGGAGCGAAAGCGUGGGUAGCAAACAGGAUUAGAUACCCGUGUAGUC